This is a long non-coding RNA of Panicum virgatum (switchgrass), 874 nucleotides long. RefSeq lists it as uncharacterized. The record is from RefSeq and is a predicted model, not a curated record. Lineage: Eukaryota; Viridiplantae; Streptophyta; Magnoliopsida; Poales; Poaceae. The transcript is spliced from 2 exons.
UUCAUUUUCUCCUCUCAGCAGCAGCGUGUGCCGAGCUCCUUCCUUCCCAUCCAUAGCCUUGCCGCCGCCGUGCUCACGGUAGGCCUGCUCGCCGCAGCGGCAUCGGCGGCCGUUACCAACGACCGCAACGGCGUGGUGGUGAACUGCCAGUGCCGACUACCCCAGGAGCUUCCUGAGAUAUGGUCGGAUCUAAUAGGCCAAGCACCGUGGCCUUGACGUGGUGCAGUGAACGGCCACGAGCCCUCCGCUGGACAGGAAGGGGCCUCUGCCGGCAGAGCUGCUCGGCACAGCUGCCGGCGUGGGGACGUUGAGUAGCGACUGCUCGGACUGGGUGAGGAGCUGCGGCGCAGGGCACGGGGAGCGGCAGCGUGCAGCUCGGUGACGCGGGCCACGUAGCAUGGGAGAGCAGCUGUGGCAGUGCGGCACGGGGAAGCCACUACGGGAAAACAGUGGGUUUGCCGUGGGUCCGAUAAAGCACACGGCAAAGGAUUUGUCGUGUGUUACACACGGUAAACAGCGCACGGCAAAGUUCGGCCGGCAUACAGAGUGUUUGUCGUGUGUCUUUUUUCGGGCACACGGCAAAGUCAUUGCCGUGUGUUUUAUCGGGCCCAAGGAAAAAUAAAGUUACCCCGUCGACCCAGCAUGCCACGUGGGCUGUUUGCCGUGUGCCACAAUGGUCAGGCACACGGCAAACAAUGCCACCUUUGCCGUGUGCCACGUGGACAGGCACACGGCAAAGAAUGGCAGCUUUGCCGUGUGCCUUGCCAUGGCACACGGCAAAAAAUGGUGGCACAUGGCAAAAUUAAUUUUCAAAUUCUUUUUUUUGUUUAAUCACAAUUAUUUUAGAUUCCAAUCAAAUUAACAUCACAGGCAA